GAGAGAGAGAGAGAGAGAGAGAGAGAGAGAGAGAGAGAGAGAGAGAGAGAGAAAGAGAGAAAGAGAGAGGUUGUAGUUUGUGGUUUGAGAAAUGCAAGUUUGAGGUCUUAAAUGAGUGAAUAGACAUUUUGUAAGUGAAUAAAGUGAAAAAAAAAAAUCAUCUCCUAGACAGUGAAGUGAGUGAGAUGUGUUGAAAAGUAUACCCAUAAUGUGGCACAAGGAACACUGAACACUGUAAUGCAAGGAGAAGUGACAGAAAGAGAAAAGUGAGGCAUAGAAAGCAAAACAAGGACCAUAGUGACUAAACCGAGUGGUGAUGGCCAAACUGUGGUGUUGAGAGGUGAGGGAGAGACCUGUGUGUGUGUGUGUAUGUAUGUAUGUGUGUGUGUGUGUGUGUGCCUGGGUGAGGGUGUUGUUGAGGUGUUGAGGUGUGGUGAGAGACAGAGAGUGUUUAUGUACUACAGGGAAGUGGACUGUGUGUGUGUAUAGUGAAGUGAGUGGAGGUAGAUUCAGUGUCCAGCCAGCCACUCAUGGAACAGUGGGUGUGUUUGAUAGCAUGGCUUGUGGCAAAGACAUUGGAGCAGUGUGUGGCGUCUGUGUGGGCUGUUGAUGCUGUUUUAUUACUCUGCUAGAUAAAAAAAAAAGUAUAUAAUAUGUAUAUAAUAUACAUAUAUACACACAUACAAUGUAUUUUCAUAAUGCAAGUAGUUGGAAAUUUUGUAUGUUCAUAUUUAUUGAGGAGAGAAGGCUUGAGUGAGCAGCCAAGCAGGUGUGUUAGCAGGUUAGCAGGUUUAGCAGGUUCUGUUGUGUUUCCCUCCCAAGCGCUGCAUUCCUUUGUGCAGGCAGGACCAGGUGGCAGUGGUGGUGGUCAGGUAGGGUCAGGUCUUGCUGUCACUUGUUACUGAGAGAUACACUUAUCCAAUGACCUCACCUGCUGGCCACCCCACUGCUACACACAUGAAUAGUUUUAUGAUACAAGUGAAGGGGAUUUGAAGCCAUAACAAUAACAGGAAAUGACAUGCAAACAGUUUCCUGGCAGCCUUGAGGAGUCCAUUCCCUGAUUUCCUUUGUUUCCCCAUGACUGUGAUGCUUUGAGGACCUCCCUAUGUUGUCUCCCUUGUUUAGGCUGCAUGUGUCUGCUGCUACUGCUGCUGCACGUGUAUGGCCGUCCCUCAGGCAGAGUAGAGGUUCAGUAGUGUCCAGUGAGGCCAAGUGAGCUUAUUGUGGUGUGAGGAUGCAAGGCCGAGUGUCUGUCUGUGUGUCUGUCUGCCGCAAAUCGUCAAGUACAAAGUUGUUGCUAAUGGAAGGAAUAGAUGGAAAUUUUUUUGUAGGUAACCUGUCCUCCAUUUAUUACAAGUUUUCUUCGGCUGUUUAUUAUGACCAAGUGUUCUCCUGCGUCAAAUAUUUUCCUCUGUCUGCUUGUCUGUGUGGAUUUCAGCGCAGCAUUCUCCAACAUUUCAGGGUUCACAUUUCAACAACUUUUAACCUCUUCAGCACUGGGACACAUUUUUAUUGCAAGUUUUUGGAUAUGAUUACGCCAUUUUAUUUACAUUAGGAGCAAGUUAUCGGGGUUAGAAAAUUAAUGCACAGAGUCUUCACCAUUUUAAUUCACACAUAAGUUUCUGAAGCUGUGUGAAAUUGCCAAAUAGUAACCAGAAUGGAUAUGAAAAAUGUGUCAUGGUACUGAAGAGGUUAACAGGCUGUAGUAGAAGUCAUUGGGGUGUUCCAGGGCAUGAUUUGAGUGGUUUGAUGAUUCUAGCAACACCUGUACAAGAAUCCUGCAUCACCAGCCACCGAUGGGAAGGAAGCGUCUCUGAGGACCCAAUCAAUCUCUUCUGGUCCUUGGAGAGUCCUGCAGUGGUCCCGAGUGUUUCAGAGUGUGAGCCUCAGUGAAAAGUUGCAAUUUGACACUAAGAACUUGACUGCAUGCAUUUCCUUCAACCUUUCUGUUUUCCCUUCUCUCUAUUUCUUUCCUAUCUCUUCCUUUCAUUUCUCCUCUUUUUUUAUUUCCUAUUUCUCCUUUCCUCUCUUCUUUUUUUUUUUUUUUUCUUUUUCCUUCUUUCGGUUCUCAAAUGUGAGCUUCGGUGACAAGUAGCAGUUUGACAGUUGGAUUAUAAGUUGAGUUUUGUUUCAGUUUUCUGCCAAAGCACUGGAUGGAAAAUGUUCAGUUUACCAACAUCCUGUGUGACUGAUUUGUGUCUUCAACGCUAGACACUUCCUGGGAACUUGUUGGCUUUGUGGCUCCUCAGUUGUCAGUUGUGGUUUGUUUGCGUGGCUGUUUAUAAGUGAUGUGUAAAGUGUACAUAGGGUGAAGUCCAUCCUUUCCUGUGUUGGACGGAUUUGAGUUGCUGUUUCUCUUCAGUGAGUUGCCGGAAGUCAGGCGGUGCUCCUCAUCUUUAGUUACUAAGGUGUGUUUUAGGUUAAAAGCUUUCUUUUCUUUUUUAAGCAAGUUUUUUUUUAAUUUAUGUUAGCCUUACCAUAUUAUGUUUUCAGUGGUGUGAGAAUUUGUGCAAGACACUGUAUCCUUAUUUUCUAUGUAGCCAAAGCAAUCAUGUGACUUUUUUUUACCAUAGACUGGUCCCGGAAGACUGUCUUAACUUUUUACUUGUCUGUAAAUUUGUGAUGCUGGAAACUGUGGGCACAAAACUAUUGGUGGUGUGAAGACAGUGACAAGCCAGGCAGUGCUGACACCAAUCACUCACAAACUGUCACUGCUCCAAUUUGAACCAGUUUAGACUUUCAGAGAAUUUUCCCUCUUUAAGUUGUGUCGUUUUUUUUAAGUGAGUGAAGGUAGAUUCUUAGUGAAGCAAAAGUUCUUCACAUACCAAAGGACAAAAUCUCUCAAUGCAUCAAGUGAGAGAGUGUUCGUAAGCCACAGUCUGCCAGCACUGCACUCCAAGGACUGACUUGCUUGGUUUAAUGAGUCCCUGUCUGUUUCCUUAUUGUUUACCCAGACUGUCACUAUCCACUUUUAACGCUGGUUGCCACACUGCCUGGGCGCGGCAAGACGGAAGGUUCAGCUGGACAACACAGCAACACAACGCAUCCUCCACUUAGGACAGAGUAUAUUUUUGGCAAACCGUUUGUAGUGCCGGGAUUCGUGGAGGCAGAGGUUGGAUACUUACAUAUAGGAGUGGUGACUUCAUGUGCGUUCAGUUAAUUUUUUGUACCAAUAAGUGUCGUCGCUGCUGCCGCUGUGCUGCCGGGGAGACUUAAGAGACUCUAGUGCCAACUGUGGGGUGAUGGUGAGGCAGAGAACCUUCAUCCUACACCUGUCAAAUCUAUAUUAACGAAACUCACCUGGAAUGCGAUCCUGGCCCCGUCAAUUCCUGAUAUGUACAAUACUGUGUUGUCACUCCUUCCGUCUGUCUGUUCGUGUGUUGCUUUGGGUUCCGUGAGGCGCCUCCAGUGGGCAGAAUAACGUUAUAUGUUUGUACACGAAUGCAAUUGAGUUUCUUUGCAUGGUGUUAUGUAUUGGAGUUCUGAGUGCAAGUCUACUUAGGCCAACACACUUUACAUCUUUUUUUACAUUUCUAUAUGAGUUGAGAGCAAAGCCAAACGUGUCCUCUGGUUGCUGUGAUGUUGAAAAGAGAAGAAAUGCUCGUGUUUUUACUGAAUUUUUUUACCGUACUUGAGUUUUUCCCCUCCCUUCCAUUCCUACUUAUCCUGUUCCAUAAGGUUGAAGUGGCUCAGGGAAGUGUGUGGUGCCUGCUGUCCACAUUCCACCAAACUAUAACAUCGAAACUAAAUUACCGCGACAAUCAUAACAGUAUUUUGGAGAUGAAAAGUUUGAUUAGCACUAACACCAAGGAAUUUCAUCGGAUAUAAAUGAAGAACAAACUAGAUAACAAUGAUUUAUGGAGAGUAUAGAGACAAUGAUGAGUGGAUGGUAUAAGUCAGGCUCAUAUUAUAAAGUACUUCUGCUCUCCACCUUCACUAUUUUCAAAGGGCUGUAGUUGAAAUGACACAGGUUUUUAAGGAUGUUUCUGUAAUUCCAGUGACAUGUUAAGUUUUCUGCAUUACCAACAGGAAAAAUACUCUUUAGAAUUUGGUCAAUUAUCUUUGUGGUUUAUUUUCAAAGGGCUCUAGUUAAAGUGACACAGGUCUUUAAGGAGUUUUCUGCGUUGCCAAGACGAAAAAUGCUCUUUAGAACCCAGCUUAUCAUCUCUAUGGUUUAUUUUCAAAGGGCUCUAGUUGAAGUGACACAAGUUUUCAAGAAUGUUUAUGUGAUUCUAGUGACAUGUUAACAAGUUUUCUGCAUUAUGAACAGGAAAAAUACUCUUUGGAACUGGACUAAUCAUCUCUGUAGUCUUUGAAAAUGGUCACAGUGAGAGAGGGAAGCAUUUCUGAAUAUGGUCUGUGGUGGCAGGAGGGGGCCAGAGGGACCAGACACGUCCACUGCGCUGUGGAGACGAAAGCCAUUAUUGUUAAAACAUUCCUACUGAAACUGUCAUUACUAUAAGGCACAGAUUGAAGUAAUAAAAUGUAUAAAAUCAAA
This 4498-nucleotide long non-coding RNA is filed under the name Portunus trituberculatus (swimming crab). RNAcentral describes it as "uncharacterized LOC123510774". The record is from RNAcentral. Lineage: Eukaryota; Metazoa; Arthropoda; Malacostraca; Decapoda; Portunidae.